This 1157-nucleotide unclassified non-coding RNA is filed under the name Hevea brasiliensis (rubber tree). The record is from RNAcentral. Lineage: Eukaryota; Viridiplantae; Streptophyta; Magnoliopsida; Malpighiales; Euphorbiaceae.
AUUUGCAGUAUAAAGGAAAAAGCUGUAUACCAAGUGUUUAACAAGCCUUCGUGUCACUCAAUUCUCCCUGAGAUUUUGAAUCGAGUUGCACUUUUGCGAUGAUAGCACUAUGAAAAUUGUUUCCUGAUUCUGAAGUUUGAUAUAGGAUUUAUCAUUCAUGAACAUUAUAGAUCCUUUUCUUCUAACCGUCAGGGAAGAAAAUUCAACAUUCGCAAACUGUUUUCUUUACAUCGGAGACAUUAAUCUGAUUAGAGGCCUAUGCUACACUGCACGGUGAUUCUUCUCUUAUACUAUUUAUUAUGACAUAUCCCAAAUAAUUUAUGCCAUUGCAAUUAACACCAAUUGCAAUAUCUUCUUAGAAUUCUGUUUGGGAUAUGUGAAUUCGAUUUAUCAAGGAUUGCUAAUGAUUGAUGGAAAAGAAAAUAAGAAUGUGCGAAAGGAAAGGGUUAACUAUGGGGAUGUAGGUGUGAUGCAGCUCUGAUUUUCACUGAUCAAGGAUUAGACCGGAUACCAAGGUCAGUAGUUGAAAUCUUUACCACAAAUGCAAGAAUUUUCUGCAUCCCUGACUCAAGAAACUUACCUACAAGGUUGUUUUUCUUCUUAAGGUUAAAUUCCUCUUACUUGAGUAGACCUUAAUUUUUGCAAAUAGAUAAAAAAAGGAAAGGGAAAAAGAAAGAAAGAAACUCCUGCUCACCAUACUUGUUUUAGAAUUGAAGGAAAACAGAGAAUAGGUAGAAAGUGAAGUGAUCUUAGAGGUAUAAUUCGAUUUCUUCUUGCGUUUCUUUUCGUCUUAAGCUACAAUUCUCUUGUUUCUUAUCAUUGCAGGUUAAUUUAUCAGUCAGGCUCUGCCUCAGCUGGGAUUUUGGCGUAAUUGCUGUAAAAGAUAUAGGGAGAAGUAAUUACAAUAUAUAUGCCACACUGGUAGAUCAAAAUCAUCAUUUGAUCAUAGAAAAGGUGAUUAAGAAUAUGAAAUGCUACCUUUCCGAAUUGCUAAAUCCCGCAAUUUGAAAUGAAGCCUUGGCGUUUUCCACCAGUGUUUGCAGUUAAGAUGUACUUUUCUUCUUUCUAAGGGGGUUUUGGAUUUUGGACCAAUUGAGUAUUGUAAUGAUUUGAUCUCCAUUUUUUCCUGCGGUUUUGGUUUAGGUUCUCAUCUUUUG